GAUGAACGCUAGCUACAGGCUUAACACAUGCAAGUCGAGGGGCAGCAUGAACUUAGCUUGCUAAGUUUGAUGGCGACCGGCGCACGGGUGAGUAACACGUAUCCAACCUGCCGAUGACUCGGGGAUAGCCUUUCGAAAGAAAGAUUAAUACCCGAUGGCAUAGUUCUUCCGCAUGGUAGAACUAUUAAAGAACUUCGGUCAUCGAUGGGGAUGCGUUCCAUUAGGUUGUUGGCGGGGUAACGGCCCACCUAGCCUGCGAUGGAUAGGGGUUCUGAGAGGAAGGUCCCCCACAUUGGAACUGAGACACGGUCCAAAACUCCUACGGGAGGCAGCAGUGGGGAAUAUUGCGCAAAUGGGGGGCAACCCCUGACGCAGCCAUGCCGCGUGAAAUGAAG
This 395-nucleotide ribosomal RNA is filed under the name uncultured bacterium. RNAcentral's name for it is "bacterial SSU rRNA". It matches the Rfam family "Bacterial small subunit ribosomal RNA", at positions 28 to 413 of the family's 1533-position model. The record is from RNAcentral.